Molecule: transfer RNA, 74 nt
Filed under: Ovis aries (sheep)
Lineage: Eukaryota; Metazoa; Chordata; Mammalia; Artiodactyla; Bovidae
Rfam family: tRNA
About the family: Transfer RNA (tRNA) molecules are approximately 80 nucleotides in length.
Source: Rfam by way of RNAcentral
UCCCCAGCAGUCCAGUGGUUAAGAACUCCCCAUUUCCAAUGCGGGGGGUGCUGGUUCGAUUCCUGAUUGGGGAA